AUCUACAGCCAAAGCACUCGGGACACACUGGAUCUUAUCUGAUCUCGGAAGCCAAGCAGUGUCAGGCUUGGUUAGUGCUUAGAUGGGAGUCCUCCUGGGAACACAAGGUACUGUAGGGG
Molecule: ribosomal RNA, 119 nt
Filed under: Rattus norvegicus (Norway rat)
Lineage: Eukaryota; Metazoa; Chordata; Mammalia; Rodentia; Muridae
Source: RNAcentral